UGAUCCUGGCUCAGGACGAACGCUGGCGGCGUGCUUAACACAUGCAAGUCGAACGAUGAACCAGGGCUUGCCCUGGGAAUUAGUGGCGAACGGGUGAGUAACACGUGGGCAACCUGCCCCAGACACCGGGAUAACCUCUCGAAAGAGUGGCUAAUACCGGAUACGACCACUUUGGGCAUCCAACGGUGGUGGAAAGGAUUCUGGUCUGGGAUGGGCCCGCGGCCUAUCAGCUUGUUGGUGGGGUAAUGGCCUACCAAGGCGACGACGGGUAGCCGGCCUGAGAGGGCGACCGGCCACACUGGGACUGAGACACGGCCCAGACUCCUACGGGAGGCAGCAGUGGGGAAUAUUGCGAAAUGGGGGAAACCCUGAUGGAGCGACGCCGCGUGGAGGAUAAGGUCUUCGGAUUGUAAACUCCUGUCAUGCGAGAGCAAGAUUGGUCAUUUAAUAGGUGAUUAAUUUGAUAGUAUCGCAAGAGGAAGAGACGGCUAACUCUGUGCCAGCAG
Molecule: ribosomal RNA, 506 nt
Filed under: uncultured bacterium
Lineage: Bacteria
Description: bacterial SSU rRNA
Rfam family: Bacterial small subunit ribosomal RNA
Source: RNAcentral